AUUCUGAGUUCAUAAGUAUGCGGAACUUCAUACAAGCAGCCCUUGAAAGUCAAUUUCUGCAGAUUUUACUGGUUGUUCUUAGUGACAUUGACAUCUCACUGUGAAAACUUUCACGCUGUUGGACUACACACACUUGGCCUUGGAGAUAUCAAUCUCUGACUGUAAAGAUAAACAUGAAAGCUUGAUGGGACUCUUAAGAUCACUGAGUGGAAAAUCAGGAAACUGUGUGUGAAAUUGGAAGGUGACCAAGAUCUCUGUAGAUGUGAGGAGGCACAAAAGGGACAGUUUAUUCUUUUGAAGUUGCUGGAACUGCUUGCAGUAAGAAAUAAAAGCUGUGCGUCAAUCAAGAAAACUAUUUCAAUUGUUCAGAACAUGCUGCUAAACUAACCUUUGCAGCUACAUUUUUAGA
Molecule: long non-coding RNA, 409 nt
Organism: Terrapene triunguis (Three-toed box turtle)
Lineage: Eukaryota; Metazoa; Chordata; Testudines; Emydidae
Exons: 4
Source: RefSeq, a predicted model, not a curated record